GUAGGGUGCGAGCGUUAAUCGGAAUUACUGGGCGGUAAAGCGUGCGCAGGCGGUGAUGUAAUGACCGAUGUGAAAUCCCCGGGCUUAACCUGGGAACUGCAUUGGUGACUGCAUCGCUCGAGUAUGGCAGAGGGGGGUAGAAUUCCAACGUGUAGCAGUGAAAUGCGUAGAGAUGUGGAGGAAUACCGAUGGCGAAGGCAGCCCCCUGGGUCAAGAUUGACGCUCAUGCACGAAAGCGUGGGGAGCAAACAGG
This 253-nucleotide ribosomal RNA is filed under the name uncultured bacterium. RNAcentral describes it as "partial 16S ribosomal RNA". It matches the Rfam family "Bacterial small subunit ribosomal RNA", at positions 527 to 776 of the family's 1533-position model. The record is from RNAcentral.